GGGGUUCUAGCUCAUAUGGUAGAGCGCUCGCUUUGCAUGCGAGAGGCGCGGGGAUCGAUACCCCGGAGCUCCA
RNAcentral lists this transfer RNA (73 nucleotides) under Tieghemiomyces parasiticus. It matches the Rfam family "tRNA". From Rfam's summary of the family: Transfer RNA (tRNA) molecules are approximately 80 nucleotides in length. Their secondary structure includes four short double-helical elements and three loops (D, anti-codon, and T loops). The record is from Rfam by way of RNAcentral. Lineage: Eukaryota; Fungi; Kickxellomycota; Dimargaritomycetes; Dimargaritales; Dimargaritaceae.